Molecule: long non-coding RNA, 2936 nt
Organism: Magnolia sinica
Lineage: Eukaryota; Viridiplantae; Streptophyta; Magnoliopsida; Magnoliales; Magnoliaceae
Exons: 11
Source: RefSeq, a predicted model, not a curated record
UGAUUGCAGGAUGAGUCAGUUCAAUCAAAAAACUAUGAUUACAACACCAGAUGUACCCCAUCAAAAUUUUUUGAUUUUAUCAAUGAAAUUAAUUUAAAAGAUGAACAUAAAAAAAUAAUUUCAACCACUCCUUUUAAGGAAUUUUUGCGUUUUCCAAGGUUAGUAGUUCAACGCACAUUUUUAAAUACUAUUAUACGUAGAUGGGAUAACGAAACUAAAAGUUUCAUCAUUGGAGGAAAUAUGCUAUUUAUUAAAUCCCAAGACAUUGCUUUGAUAUUGAGGUUGAGUAUGAAUGGAGAGUCUUUAGAUAUGAAGAAGAAACUAGAUGUUUGCGAUGAAAAUUUUAAAAACAAAUAUUUUUCAAAUGCUCUUAUAUUGAGGAAUUUGAUUGAGGAGACUAUUAAGAUGUGGAUGGAAGAAACUUAGAUGAAUGUUUAGCUGACUUUACUAAACUCUUUAUUUUGUAUAUAUUUAAUACAAUUUUAUUUCCAACUUCAAAUCAUGCCACACCAAAAUUCUUGUUGCACUAUAUGAAUAAGCUGGAAAAAUUAAAUAGUUAUGAUUGAGUUACUGCUGUUUAUGAGUUCUUGGUUAAAAGUAUUUCUAAAUGUGUGGAGGAGAAGAAGAGCUAUGUGAAUGGAUGUGUCAUAAUGCUAGAACCAUGGUUACAAGAGCACAUCAUUCAUCAGGCAAUGUUAACAACAAAAAUGGUAUAUCCACGUUUAUUGAGAUGGGUAGAAGGUGGUUACCAACAUGCUGACACACAUAGGAAAUAUAUUGAUAAUCUCAUCUACACUCAGGUUAUUGAAGAAAUAAAGCUUACGUAUGAGAGAGAAAUCUACUAUCUCCUCCUAUAAGUGAUUCGCGUUUCUUUUUUGUACUUGAUAUGCAAUCAAUAGUGAUCACACAUUAAAAAAUAUUUGUAUUUUUAAUUGGCAUACAGGAUACAUCAAACACUGCAGAAGAAAUGUGCCAUCAUUUGGAAUCUAAAUUGGUCAACAUGUUAGAGAAAAUUGUAACUGUUCCCCACUUAACAAAUAUUUUAUAUAUGCGUAUAUUUUUUUAAUCAUGUUAUCAUGUGAUACUAAUUUCUUAUUAUCUUUAUUGUGAUUUGCAUAUAGGCAUCAAAUAUCACCCAAGAAACAUGUAGUCAUUUGGAGCUUAUAUUUUUACAAAUUAAAGACAAAAAUGUAAUUAUUCUGAAUACAACAAUUAUUUAAAAUUUGUGUAUAUUUUAUAGAUCACAAUGCGUUAGAAUGCUAAUUCCAUUUCAUUGAUUCUUGUGAUUUUUAUACAGGAGAUAUCAAGUGCAGUCAACGAAAUGUGCAAACAAUUUGAACUUAAAUUUUUGAACAUUAUAGAGAAUUUAAUGAUACAAAAUAAGAAAAAUGAAGACAAUAGUGAGUACAUAGAAUUACUGAUGGAAAAUAAAGAGUUAAGAGAUAAGAUACUUGAUAAAGAAAUAAUCAUACAACGGUUGUCUAAUGAAGUGAAAGAGUUAAAGAGAAACCGCGAUUGGGAAGCUACAUCAUGUGAGAUAAUUAAGGACAUGCAAGAAAAUUCUAACAUACCAUAAGUUUCUACUCCCUUUCAUGCGAAUACGAAGAUAAAAGAGACUUUUGUUACAAAUCAAAACUUUUUAGUGAAGCGUGUCAAAGAGCAGGGUAGGAAGAGGAUUCCUUCAAAAGUCUUACAAUCUCUAUACACUGAAUGUAAAACUAAAGGUAAAAGUAUAUGUGAAACUCUUGGAAUCCAAUCACGUAUGGAAAAGAGUGAUGAGUAUAUGUUAUCCCAAGAAGAGGUGAAUGCAAUUAUGACUCUUAAAUCUCAGAAUAAAAUCAAGGAUGAAACAUUUGGCCCACUUCGUGUCGAAAGGAGAUCCUUAGAGUCUUUAUUGAAUCCAAUGAAAUGGGUAGAUGAUGAGGUUAUAUCCAAGUAUACCGAAUUGAUGGCUAUUUGAGAAAAUAGUGGUGGGCAUGAUUUGUUAAAAUGUCACUUCUUCAACGCAUGGUUUUAUAAAUAUGUGUGUACAACGAGAAUUAUAGCGAAAGGAGACAGGAAAAUUGAAGAUAUAUAUUAUGAUGGUAGUGAUGAAAAAAUUGAAUGUAUUAUAAGGAAGAUUCCUUACGAGCUAAAGAAUAAAGAAAAAAAUUAUGAUCCCACUGAAUGAAAUGUUCCAUUGGUACUUGCUUGUCAUUGACUUAAAGAGAAAAAUAUUUUCAAUUUACAACUCUCUCAAAGGUCACCAAACAUCAACCUACAUCAAUACGAUGGUUUCACAUUUGGAGAUCCAUUUAUUAAAAACUUGUGAAAUAGAAUGUGAUGGAUUUACUGUCUCUAUAGACCAAGAAUGCCCCCAGCAACCAAAUUCGUUUGACUGUGGUGUCUACUUAAUGAAAUUUAUGGAAUGUCUUUCCCGAGGAGAUAUAUUUGAUUUCAACUCAGGGCUGAUGAAUUUUGAACGAAAAAAGUUGGUUGCACAACUGAUGCUGGGCAAAAUGAUUACACUACAGUAAUGUGAAAUGUAAAGGCUUGUCGGUUGAUGACAAUUCGCAAGAGUAUAACGGCUAUAUGGAGCUCUUUCUGCUCAUAUGUGGUCGGGGAUGAUCUUCUCAGGAGUUUUUUUAUUUUCUUAUUUUUUUAAAGGUCCAAUAAAUGCAAUUGUUGCAUGGUAGCCUGUUAAAAGUAACAGUUUAGAUUGUUCAAUUGGAGCAUCCAAGUUAUGGAUUGGAUCAUCCUAUCAAUACAGGCUUCUAUUUUUUUCUUUUUUCUUUUUUGUGUGGUGGCCUGUUAAAUAUUUUGUGUGGGAUUAAAAUAAACAAAUUUGGUUUGUAAGGUCAGACCCACUUAUAUUAAUUAGUUAUCUACCAGGCAGGCUUGAAAUAUCAACUUUGGAUAAUUCAGGCUCAUAUUAUAACUGCAGAACUGUGCACAGG